CACUGGAAAUAAAACCCUCGGCAAAGCCCACGUUAACUCCCACCACCUCUCCUCGAUCUUUGCUCCGAUCCCCACGCCCCAUCCACCCACCACCCUUCUUCUUUCCUUCCUCGCUGCAGUCUGCACACUGUCCCAGAAGAACAAACCAAGCCAAACCGCACACGGGAACCGAGAUGAGCUCUUCUCCCAGGAAUGGUUGUCCGGUGGCACCGCUGCCACUCAUUCUACUGAUGUUGCUGCUACUUCUGUCGACUUCCUCGGCGUCCGCGGAGCUGGGUGACGCGAGUGUCAUCAGGCCGCGCGGGGCACGGCGGAUGCUGGUGUCUCCGCCGGCGACGUACGCGUCGAGUCGGCUCAGGGCCGAGCGGCAGCAGAUGCGGGUCGGCGGCGAGAAGAAGCACUUCGACAACGUCGCCGCCAGCUUCGGCCGCCGGAGGAUACCCCAUUCCGGCUUUAAUCCCGUCCAUAACCGAUAAAAUCGAGGAAACGGACUGCACGGUCACGUGACCGGCCGGGGCCGAAGUGGCAAGGGUACAAAGGAUCAGAAGGAAGACACGACGUACAACGGAGAUCCAGCUUAGGGUCGUCGCAUCUGUGUGUAAAAACCUUUUCAAUUUUGUAGUGCUAGUUUUUCUUUUUUUGCAUUUUAUAGAUAUUUCUUGUGUAAGUUAAGUUAGAUGUGUAGCUAGUCGGAUGGGAGAUGGCUGGCCAUGGCAAGCUCUUUUUUUUUCCUCCAUGUUGGUACUUGUUUCAUGGUAGUUCUUUCGUUGAAUUUAGCAGAUGAAGUAUAAGUUGGAUGGUUCAGAAA
Molecule: long non-coding RNA, 808 nt
Organism: Brachypodium distachyon (stiff brome)
Lineage: Eukaryota; Viridiplantae; Streptophyta; Magnoliopsida; Poales; Poaceae
Exons: 2
Source: RefSeq, a predicted model, not a curated record